RNAcentral lists this ribosomal RNA (596 nucleotides) under Quasimus sp. UPOL RK0050. Its description in RNAcentral is "eukaryotic LSU rRNA". It matches the Rfam family "Eukaryotic large subunit ribosomal RNA", at positions 703 to 1259 of the family's 3401-position model. Lineage: Eukaryota; Metazoa; Arthropoda; Insecta; Coleoptera; Elateridae. The record is from RNAcentral.
GAAACCUAAAGGCGAAAUGAAAGUGAAGGCGCGCCUUGCGCGCGCCGAGGGAGGAUGGGCGUCCGACUCUGGCCGCCCCGCACUCCCGGGGCGUCUCGUUCUCAUCGCGAGAAGAGGCGCACCCAGAGCGUACACGCUGGGACCCGAAAGAUGGUGAACUAUGCCUGGUCAGGACGAAGUCAGGGGAAACCCUGAUGGAGGUCCGUAGCGAUUCUGACGUGCAAAUCGAUCGUCGGAACUGGGUAUAGGGGCGAAAGACUAAUCGAACCAUCUAGUAGCUGGUUCCCUCCGAAGUUUCCCUCAGGAUAGCUGGCGCUCGCAACUUUUGCGAGUCUCAUCCGGUAAAGCGAAUGAUUAGAGGCAUUGGGGUCGAAACGGCCUCAACCUAUUCUCAAACUUUAAAUGGGUGAGAUCUCCGGCUUGCUUGAACGCAUGAAGCCGCGAGAUCGGAUCAGAGUGCCAAGUGGGCCAUUUUUGGUAAGCAGAACUGGCGCUGUGGGAUGAACCAAACGCGGAGUUAAAGCGCCUAAAUCGACGCUUAUGGGAUACCAUGAAAGGCGUUGGUAACUUAAGACAGCAGGACGGUGGCCAUGGAA